AGAGUUUGAUCAUGGCUCAGGACAAACGCUGGCGGCGUGCAUAAAACAUGCAAGUCGGACGAGCCAAUCCCCGCAAGGGGAAAGGCUAGUGGCGAACGGCUGAGUAACACGUAGGUGAUCUGCCCUGAAGUGGGGGAUAACGACUCGAAAGAGUCGCUAAUACCGCAUGUGACCACCGACUCGUUUCGGUGCUCAAAGUCGCAGGACGCUUUAGGAGGAGCCUGCGGCGGAUUAGCUAGUUGGUGAGGUAAUGGCCCACCAAGGCUUCGAUCCGUAGCUGGUCUGAGAGGAUGGCCAGCCAGACUGGGACUGAGACACGGCCCAGACUCCUACGGGAGGCAGCAGUUAGGAAUUUUGCGCAAUGGGGGAAACCCUGACGCAGCCACGCCGCGUGCGGGAUGAAGGCCUUCGGGUCGUAAACCGCCUUUCUCGAGGAAGACACCCGACGGUACUCGAGGCAUAAGCAACGGCUAACUACGUGCCAGCAGCCGCGGUAAUACGUAGGUUGCGAGCGUUGUCCGGAUUUACUGGGCGUAAAGCGCGCGCAGGCGGUUCCGAAAGUCGAGCGUGAAAGCUCCUGGCCCAACUGGGAGAGGCCGUUCGAAACUUCGGGACUUGAAGGCGGGAGAGGCAGAUGGAAUUUCCGGUGUAGCGGUAAAAUGCGUAGAUACCGGAAGGAACACCAGUGGCGAAAGCGAUC
This 700-nucleotide ribosomal RNA is filed under the name uncultured bacterium. Its description in RNAcentral is "bacterial SSU rRNA". It matches the Rfam family "Bacterial small subunit ribosomal RNA", at positions 8 to 726 of the family's 1533-position model. The record is from RNAcentral.